Molecule: small nuclear RNA, 107 nt
Organism: Physeter macrocephalus (sperm whale)
Lineage: Eukaryota; Metazoa; Chordata; Mammalia; Artiodactyla; Physeteridae
Source: Ensembl
GUGCUCGCUUAGGCAGCACAUAUACUAAAAUUGGAACGAUGCAGAGAAGAUUAGCAUGGCCCCUGCACAAGGAUGACACACAAAUUCGUGAAGUGUUCCAUAAUUUU